Molecule: ribosomal RNA, 393 nt
Filed under: uncultured bacterium
Lineage: Bacteria
Description: partial 16S ribosomal RNA
Rfam family: Bacterial small subunit ribosomal RNA
Source: RNAcentral
AUACGGAGGAUGCGAGCGUUAUCCGGAUUUAUUGGGUUUAAAGGGAGCGUAGGUGGGAUAUUAAGUCAGCUGUGAAAGUUCGGGGCUCAACCUUAAAAUUGCAGUUGAUACUGGUUUCCUUGAGUACGGUACAGGUGGGCGGAAUGCGUGGUGUAGCGGUGAAAUGCUUAGAUAUCACGAAGAACUCCGAUCGCGAAGGCAGCUCACCGGGCCGGAACUGACACUGAUGCUCGAAAGUGCGGGUAUCAAACAGGAUUAGAUACCCUGGUAGUCCGCACAGUAAACGAUGAAUACUCGCUGUUUGCGAUACACUGUAAGCGGCCAAGCGAAAGCGUUAAGUAUUCCACCUGGGGAGUACGCCGGCAACGGUGAAACUUAAAGGAAUUGACGGGG